Molecule: long non-coding RNA, 184 nt
Organism: Octodon degus (degu)
Lineage: Eukaryota; Metazoa; Chordata; Mammalia; Rodentia; Octodontidae
Exons: 3
Source: RefSeq, a predicted model, not a curated record
CUGACUCUCUUAACAGAAAUAGAUAUUAACAAAAUUAUCAUAUAACUUUGUCAAAGUUAAAUUACUGGUUAAAUUCCUGUAUAUCCUUAUGGCUUAUCCUUACCAACUGGGUUUUCAAGGUGCUACUUUCCUUAUUAUAGAAAAACUUCUUCACUUUCAUGACCAUAUUGUUAUUAAUUGCAUU